Molecule: ribosomal RNA, 1367 nt
Filed under: uncultured bacterium
Lineage: Bacteria
Description: bacterial SSU rRNA
Rfam family: Bacterial small subunit ribosomal RNA
Source: RNAcentral
AGAGUUUGAUCCUGGCUCAGGACGAACGCUGGCGGCGCGCCUAACACAUGCAAGUCGAACGAGCGAGAGAGAGCUUGCUUUCUCGAGCGAGUGGCGAACGGGUGAGUAACGCGUGAGGAACCUGCCUCAAAGAGGGGGACAACAGUUGGAAACGACUGCUAAUACCGCAUAAGCCCACGACCCGGCAUCGGGUUGAGGGAAAAGGAGCAAUCCGCUUUGAGAUGGCCUCGCGUCCGAUUAGCUAGUUGGUGAGGUAACGGCCCACCAAGGCGACGAUCGGUAGCCGGACUGAGAGGUUGAACGGCCACAUUGGGACUGAGACACGGCCCAGACUCCUACGGGAGGCAGCAGUGGGGAAUAUUGCACAAUGGGGGAACCCUGAUGCAGCGACGCCGCGUGGAGGAAGAAGGUCUUCGGAUUGUAAACUCCUGUUGUUGAGGAAGAUAAUGACGGUACUCAACAAGGAAGUGACGGCUAACUACGUGCCAGCAGCCGCGGUAAAACGUAGGUCACAAGCGUUGUCCGGAAUUACUGGGUGUAAAGGGAGCGCAGGCGGGAAGACAAGUUGGAAGUGAAAUCUAUGGGCUCAACCCAUAAACUGCUUUCAAAACUGUNUUUCUUGAGUAGUGCAGAGGUAGGCGGAAUCCCCGGUGUAGCGGUGGAAUGCGUAGAUAUCGGGAGGAACACCAGUGGCGAAGGCGGCCUACUGGGCACCAACUGACGCUGAGGCUCGAAAGUGUGGGUAGCAAACAGGAUUAGAUACNCUGGUAGUCCACACCGUAAACGAUGAUUACUAGGUGUUGGAGGAUUGACCCCUUCAGUGCCGCAGUUAACACAAUAAGUAAUCCACCUGGGGAGUGCGACCGCAAGGUUGAAACUCAAAGGAAUUGACGGGGGCCCGCACAAGCAGUGGAGUAUGUGGUUUAAUUCGACGCAACGCGAAGAACCUUACCAAGUCUUGACAUCCCUUGACGAACAUAGAAAUAUGUUUUCUCUUCGGAGCAAGGAGACAGGUGGUGCAUGGUUGUCGUCAACUCGUGUCGUGAGAUGUUGGGUCAAGUCCCGCAACGAGCGCAACCCUUACUGUCAGUUACUACGCAAGAGGACUCUGGCAGGACUGCCGUUGACAAAACGGAGGAAGGUGGGGAUGACGUCAAAUCAUCAUGCCCUUUAUGACUUGGGCUACACACGUACUACAAUGGCGUUAAACAAAGAGAAGCAAGACCGCGAGGUGGAGCAAAACUCAGAAACAACGUCCCAGUUCGGACUGCAGGCUGCAACUCGCCUGCACGAAGUCGGAAUUGCUAGUAAUCGUGGAUCAGCAUGCCACGGUGAAUACGUUCCCGGGCCUUGACACACCGCCCGUC